AAUCAACGCUGGCGGCGUGCCUAACACAUGCAAGUCGAACGCGAAAGCCCCUUCGGGGGUAAGUAGAGUGGCGUCCGGGUGAGUAACACGUAGGUAAUCUACCUUCGGGUGGGGAAUAACUCGCCGAAAGGCGAGCUAAUACCGCAUAAUGCAGCGGCACCUAAUGGUGAUUAGUUGUUAAAGCGGGGGAUCGUAAGACCUCGCGCCUGAAGAGGAGCCUGCGGCAGAUUAGCUAGNGGUGAGGUAAUGGCUCACCAAGGCUUCGAUCUGUAGCUGGUCUGAGAGGACGGCCAGCCACACUGGCACUGACACACGGGCCAGACUCCUACGGAGGCAGCAGUGGGGAAUUUUGGGCAAUGGGCGCAAGCCUGACCCAGCAACGCCGCGUGAGGGAGGAAAUCCUUCGGGAUGUAAACCUCACAAGCAAGGGAAGAGAGC
Molecule: ribosomal RNA, 438 nt
Filed under: uncultured bacterium
Lineage: Bacteria
Description: bacterial SSU rRNA
Rfam family: Bacterial small subunit ribosomal RNA
Source: RNAcentral